CGGACGGGUGAGUAACACGUGAGCAACCUGCCUUUCAGUGGGGGACAACAGUUGGAAACGACUGCUAAUACCGCAUAACGUGCCGGAAGGGCAUCCUUUUGGUACCAAAGAUUUAUCGCUGAAAGAUGGGCUCGCGUCUGAUUAGAUAGUUGGUGAGGUAACGGUCCACCAAGUCGACGAUCAGUAGCCGGACUGAGAGGUUGAUCGGCCACAUUGGGACUGAGACACGGCCCAGACUCCUACGGAAGGCAGCAG
This 255-nucleotide ribosomal RNA is filed under the name uncultured bacterium. Its description in RNAcentral is "partial 16S ribosomal RNA". It matches the Rfam family "Bacterial small subunit ribosomal RNA", at positions 99 to 354 of the family's 1533-position model. The record is from RNAcentral.